Molecule: ribosomal RNA, 460 nt
Filed under: uncultured bacterium
Lineage: Bacteria
Description: partial 16S ribosomal RNA
Rfam family: Bacterial small subunit ribosomal RNA
Source: RNAcentral
CCUACGGGUGGCAGCAGUGAGGAAUAUUGGUCAAUGGCCGGAAGGCUGAACCAGCCAUGCCGCGUGAAGGUCAGUGCCCUAUGGGCGUUAAACUUCUUUUGUGCGGGAGCAAUAAUGGUCACGUGUGGCCAGACGAGAGUACCGUACGAAUAAGCAUCGGCUAACUCCGUGCCAGCAGCCGCGGUAAUACGGGGGAUGCAAGCGUUAUCCGGAUUUAUUGGGUUUAAAGGGUGCGUAGGCUGUGAGGUAAGUCAGCGGUGAAAUGCCCCCGCUCAACGGGGUGAAGUGCCAUUGAUACUGCCUGGCUGGAAUGCGGAUGCCGGGGGAGGAAUGUGUGGUGUAGCGGUGAAAUGCAUAGAUAUCACACAGAACACCGAGUGCGAAGGCAUCUCACGAAUCCGCGAUUGACGCUGAUGCACGAAAGCGUGGGUAUCAAACAGGAUUAGAUACCCGAGUAGUC